AUACGGAGGGUGCAAGCGUUGUCCGGAAUUACUGGGUGUAAAGGGUGCGUAGGCGGGCUUGUGCGUCAGGGGUUAAAUCCCACGGCUUAACCGUGGAGCUGCCCUUGAUACGGCAAGUCUUGAGUAUGAGAGAGGAUGAUAGAAUUCCUGGUGUAGCGGUGAAAUGCGUAGAUAUCAGGAAGAAUACCAGUGGCGAAGGCGGUCAUCUGGCUCAUUACUGACGCUCAGGCACGAAAGCGUGGGGAGCGAACAGGAUUAGAUACCCUAGUAGUCC
This 274-nucleotide ribosomal RNA is filed under the name uncultured bacterium. RNAcentral's name for it is "partial 16S ribosomal RNA". It matches the Rfam family "Bacterial small subunit ribosomal RNA", at positions 523 to 796 of the family's 1533-position model. The record is from RNAcentral.